GACGAACGCUGGCGGCGUGCUUAACACAUGCAAGUCGAACGGAAAGGCCCUGCUUUUGUGGGGUGCUCGAGUGGCGAACGGGUGAGUAACACGUGAGUAACCUGCCCUUGACUUUGGGAUAACUUCAGGAAACUGGGGCUAAUACCGGAUAGGAGCUCCUGCUGCAUGGUGGGGGUUGGAAAGUUUCGGCGGUUGGGGAUGGACUCGCGGCUUAUCAGCUUGUUGGUGGGGUAGUGGCUUACCAAGGCUUUGACGGGUAGCCGGCCUGAGAGGGUGACCGGCCACAUUGGGACUGAGAUACGGCCCAGACUCCUACGGGAGGCAGCAGUGGGGAAUAUUGCACAAUGGGCGGAAGCCUGAUGCAGCAACGCCGCGUGCGGGAUGACGGCCUUCGGGUUGUAAACCGCUUUCGCCUGUGACGAAGCGUGAGUGACGGUAAUGGGUAAAGAAGCACCGGCUAACUACGUGCCAGCAGCCGCGGUGAUACGUAGGGUGCGAGCGUUGUCCGGAUUUAUUGGGCGUAAAGGGCUCGUAGGUGGUUGAUCGCGUCGGAAGUGUAAUCUUGGGGCUUAACCCUGAGCGUGCUUUCGAUGCGGGUUGACUUGAGGAAGGUAGGGGAGAAUGGAAUUCCUGGUGGAGCGGUGGAAUGCGCAGAUAUCAGGAGGAACACCAGUGGCGAAGGCGGUUCUCUGGGCCUUUCCUGACGCUGAGGAGCGAAAGCGUGGGGAGCGAACAGGCUUAGAUACCCUGGUAGUCCACGCUGUAAACGGUGGGUACUAGGUGUGGGGUCCAUUCCACGGGUUCCGUGCCGUAGCUAACGCUUUAAGUACCCCGCCUGGGGAGUACGGCCGCAAGGCUAAAACUCAAAGGAAUUGACGGGGCCCCGCACAAGCGGCGGAGCAUGCGGAUUAAUUCGAUGCAACGCGUAGAACCUUACCUGGGUUUGACAUGGAUCGGGAGUGCUCAGAGAUGGGUGUGCCUCUUUUGGGGUCGGUUCACAGGUGGUGCAUGGCUGUCGUCAGCUCGUGUCGUGAGAUGUUGGGUUAAGUCCCGCAACGAGCGCAACCCUUGUUCACUGUUGCCAGCACGUUAUGGUGGGGACUCAGUGGAGACCGCCGGGGUCAACUCGGAGGAAGGUGGGGAUGACGUCAAGUCAUCAUGCCCCUUAUGCCCAGGGCUUCACGCAUGCUACAAUGGCUGGUACAGAGAGUGGCGAGCCUGUGAGGGUGAGCGAAUCUCGGAAAGCCGGUCUCAGUUCGGAUUGGGGUCUGCAACUCGACCUCAUGAAGUCGGAGUCGCUAGUAAUCGCAGAUCAGCAACGCUGCGGUGAAUACGUUCCCGGG
RNAcentral lists this ribosomal RNA (1343 nucleotides) under uncultured bacterium. Its description in RNAcentral is "16S ribosomal RNA". It matches the Rfam family "Bacterial small subunit ribosomal RNA", at positions 28 to 1378 of the family's 1533-position model. The record is from RNAcentral.